Molecule: ribosomal RNA, 459 nt
Filed under: Candidatus Saccharimonadota bacterium
Lineage: Bacteria; Candidatus Saccharimonadota
Description: bacterial SSU rRNA
Rfam family: Bacterial small subunit ribosomal RNA
Source: RNAcentral
UAUUAUUCAAACUGUUAAACUCGAGAGUGGUAGAGGUAACUGGAAUUUCUAGUGUAGGAGUGAAAUCCGUAGAUAUUAGAAGGAACACCAAUGGCGUAGGCAGGUUACUGGACCAUUUCUGACGCUAAGGCACGAAAGCGUGGGGAGCGAACUGGAUUAGAUACCCAGGUAGUCCACGCCGUAAACGAUGGAUACUAGCUGUUGGAGGUAUCGACCCCUUCAGUAGCGAAGCUAACGCGUUAAGUAUCCCGCCUGUGGAGUACGGCCGCAAGGCUAAAACAUAAAGGAAUUGACAGGGACCCGCACAAGCGGUGGAUCAUGUUCUUUAAUUCGAUGAUAAACGAAGAACCUUACCAGGGUUUGACAUCCCGAGAAGAUUUACGAAAGUAAAUUGUGCCUUUUGGAACUCGGUGACAGAUGAUGCAUGGCCGUCGUCAGCUCGUGUCGUGAGAUGUUUGG